GGUCCGGUGGCCGAGGAGAUAAGCGGCGCUGGUCUUAAACGGCAGGACCGGGGUUCAAAUCCCAUCCGGACCG
This is a non-coding RNA of Anopheles minimus, 73 nucleotides long. Lineage: Eukaryota; Metazoa; Arthropoda; Insecta; Diptera; Culicidae. The record is from Rfam.